This is a non-coding RNA of Electrophorus electricus (electric eel), 3185 nucleotides long. The record is from RefSeq and is a predicted model, not a curated record. Lineage: Eukaryota; Metazoa; Chordata; Actinopteri; Gymnotiformes; Gymnotidae.
CGUCGUACCUCACUUCGACUAGUGAAAACUCUUCCUUAAUUUAUUUGAUUUAAUCUGAAAUGUGUCGGUGUCAGUUUCUGAUUAUAAUUUUAGUUGUUAAUUUCUUCUGCGGAGUCACCCUAGCUCAUCCUCAGAUAGUAUAUGUGACGCCUGUUGACAAUCCAACUAAUGCAGAGGAGUAUCAGUGUGUGACAGAUGCUGACCCUGAAAACACAAAAUACAGCUGGCAGAGGCAGGAUGGGAAUUUGCCAGAAGGUGUGAAGGCAGAGGGAAACCGAUUGCAUUUCCUGAAGUUGAGCUCCGACCUCAAUGGUUUGUACAUCUGUAAGGCAGUGAACAAGUUUGGCGAAGCAACAGGUUCCCUCUAUCGAUAUAAAAGUUUUCAUGAAGAGUUAUAACAAUGCUAAGUCAAAAACAGGUGUUUUCAAUUUCACUAAAAUGUAAAAACUUAAGGAUUUCUGCCUGAUCAAAACCAAAUUUCUUUAAAAAAAAUGGAGAACUUCAGCUAAAUGAUGUGUGUUAGAGGUCUGAUUUAUGAUAAAUACAAUAAUUUUAAAUUAGCAUAAAAAUCAUGUUCAUUUCAUAACCACAAACAUAUGCUUGGAGUUUAUUAAACCGUUCCCUGAUGCAAAAAAAAUUUUUUGUGUAGUAAAUGGGCUUUUGUCCGAAGGGAUCCCGUCCCUGCAAAUUCCACAACAAAUGGCAAAAGAGCAGCUUCUUUCUCUCACUCACUGACUGUCUCUCUGUCUCUCUCCAAAAAAUAUAAUAGCAUUGUUAAUAAUGAGAUAAGAAUGAGAUGUGUCGCUUCAUUUGUCUUCUGUCUGGGUUCCAAAUGAUGACAGUAAUGAUAGUAGUUUGUCCUAAAUUCACUCUGUUGUGUUACCUUUCAUCGGAUUAAAUUUUAAAUUUGGAGUUUUUCAGUACUGAUCACAUAGCAUUACGCAGACCCUCCUUAGCUUAGAUACUCACACUCAUCUGUAUCCUUAAAUGAGUUUUCCCAUUUCUACAGUUUUAGGGCUAUGGAUGCUGCUGAAAAAUCAUUGUUUCUUACACUCUCUUCAGUACUGAUCUCCUUCAACACCUCAAAACUGUACUGAGACUAUCCAGCCUAUCAGGAGACUAAAGACGUAUAUUCUUAGCCACCUCCCUCAGUACUCAGCUUUACUGAUCUACAAACCACCAACCAUGCAGCUGAAAUCUCGACUCCCCCCUUGGCUCCAUAGCUAUUAGAAUCAUCUGUUCAUCAUUAUGCAGUCAUUAGGACUUGCAUUAAUGGCCUCUUUGUUAAUUACUUUGUUAAGCUCAGGUUCAUUCUGUCUCAAACCUCAGUUUGCAGUAGACCCAAUACCUUGUACCUCCUUGUUUUCACCUGGACAUGUUAUAUGAGUUUAAUACACAGUCAUAUCAGAAUCACCAGGCAUCACCAUUGAGUGAACACUUUUACAUUUGGGCUUGCGAAGCAGAUGCAUGGUUAUGGUGGCAAUGUUAACCAAGGUUCAUUGUCCCUGUUGCCUCCAGUGUGUAAGGGGGAACCGUAAUUGGACACUGGAGAUUUGGAAAAACGUUGUGUCUCAGAUGAAUCCAGGUUUAUCCUACAAAAAGUGAACUAACAAUGGCAUACAUGCCACCAAAUAGAGAACUGCCUCUAUCACUAAUGUGUCAUCUCCUUGAGCUGUUAGCUUUCAGUUCCCCCCAAAACAGAUAUCUAUGUUGUAUCAUCUGUGCUAUAACCUGUUUAUGUAUCAUAACAUUAAACUCUGCAUUGCUGUGGUUCUCUGGGACUGGAGGUAUGCAAGUGUCCUCUAGAUGAAAAUAUUUAGUAGUUUAGGAAAGCAAAUCUACUGUUGUUGUUGUUGUUCUUCUACUUCUUCUUCUUGUUCUUCUUCUUCUUCUUGUUUUAGAUUAAGCAAGCUUUUGACCUAAUUCACUGCUUGUAGUCUCCAUUUCGCUUUCUUGCACAUUUUGCCAUAGUUUACUCACAUUCUGUGCACGUGUCCACAGAAUCUGUGCUAAAUGGUCUAAAUUUGUACUAUUAGCUUUCAGUUCCCCCCAAAACAAAUGCACAUUUUGCCCACAUCCUGUGAACCUCUACACAGAAUGUUUGCUAAAUGGUGUGAAGUUGUACUGCAGAAAUCACAGCAAACUGAUAAUCAAUCAGGCUCUGCUACAUAAGAGCUAUUCAGGCUUAUACAAAAGGGACAACUGCAAAGCAUGCAGCAUUAAUCACAAUGCCUGUACUCAUUCAUGCACUGCAGCAGCAGCAACAAGUAUUCACAACUGAUAAAGAAGCGUUUUGGAUUCCAAGCUGCUCAAUAAGUUUAGCUCAUUUAUAUGAAUGUGGUCACACAUGCUCCUCUACUAUUGUAAGGUGUCUCAUUACAACUCAAUCACUGUUGGCCAUUAUUACAUUUACGGCAUUUAGCAGACGCUCUUAUCCAUUAUCCUUAUCUCAUUACUCUGUCACUCUUGGCCAUCACUUCUCUGUCAUUCUUAGGCAUGCAGUAUUAUUUAAGGAGCUGAUGAUAUAUAAGCUGUGAAAUAAUUUUAGCACCAAUAAUAUGCUUGGAGUUUAUUAAACCUUUCCCUUAUAGAAAAAUGUUUUUGUGUAGUAUAUGGGCUUUUGUCCAAAGGGAUCCUGUCCCUGCAAAUUCCAUAACAUACUUUUCAAAUGGCAAAAGAGCAGCUUCUCUCUCUCUCACUCACUGUCUCGCUGUCUAUUUCCAAAAAUAUAAUAGGAUUGUCAAGAAUGGAAUAUGAAUCUUCUGUCUGAGUUCCCAAUGAUGACAGAAAUGAUAGUAGUUAGUUUGUCUUAAAUUCACUCUUUCAUUGAAUUACAUUUUUAAUUUAGAGGUUUUAAAAAACCAUGCCUUUAUAUGUGUGUAGGCCUAAUAUAAUUAAAUCGAAGUUUCCCAAGAUGUAAUACACUGUAGUUGAGAUCCUGUUACUGAUAAGGACUUGUUUACUCACAUGUAGGUUAUGGAAUUUUAGUGUUUAUCAAGCAAUUUGGAGCUUAUAUCACUACAGUGGCAGAAAAGAUGCAAGACAUAUGGGAGAGUGUAAGAGAGUGAGAUAGUAUGUACUAACCGUCAAAAUGAUUUGUUGCUUGAUUUGAUUGCUUGAUUUGACAGCUGUCAAUCAACCCUCCCCCUCAACCCCUCCCCCCAGAUAUUUAUUAUAUAUUUAUA